RNAcentral lists this ribosomal RNA (526 nucleotides) under uncultured bacterium. RNAcentral's name for it is "bacterial SSU rRNA". It matches the Rfam family "Bacterial small subunit ribosomal RNA", at positions 33 to 541 of the family's 1533-position model. The record is from RNAcentral.
AACGAACGCUAGCGGCGCGUUUUAAGCAUGCAAGUCGAACGGGGAUAUUAGGAGCAAUUCUGGUAUCCUAGUGGCAAACGGGUGAGUAACACGUGGAUAAUCUGCCCUCAAGACCUGGAUAGCCCGCAGAAAUGCGGAUUAAUACGGGAUGUGGUGCCUGAUCAUGAGGAUCGGGACAUUAAAGGUGGGGACCGCAAGGCCUGCCGCUUGGGGAGGAGUCCGCGGCCCAUUAGCUAGUUGGUGGGGUAAAGGCCUACCAAGGCGACGAUGGGUAGCCGGCCUGAGAGGGUGACCGGCCACAUUGGGACUGAGACACGGCCCAGACUCCUACGGGAGGCAGCAGCUAAGAAUCUUCCGCAAUGGGCGAAAGCCUGACGGAGCGACGCCGCGUGGACGAUGAAGGUCUUCGGGAUUGUAAGUACAUUUCGGGGUAGGGAAGGAAAGUAAAGACCGGCGUCUAACAGAGACGGUAGAUGACGACCCGUCCCACGAAGAAGACUCCGGCGUAACUAACGUGCCACGCACG